AUUGAACGCUGGCGGCAGGCCUAACACAUGCAAGUCGAGCGGAUGAAGGGAGCUUGCUCCUGGAUUCAGCGGCGGACGGGUGAGUAAUGCCUAGGAAUCUGCCUGGUAGUGGGGGAUAACGUCCGGAAACGGGCGCUAAUACCGCAUACGUCCUGAGGGAGAAAGUGGGGGAUCUUCGGACCUCACGCUAUCAGAUGAGCCUAGGUCGGAUUAGCUAGUUGGUGGGGUAAAGGCCUACCAAGGCGACGAUCCGUAACUGGUCUGAGAGGAUGAUCAGUCACACUGGAACUGAGACACGGUCCAGACUCCUACGGGAGGCAGCAGUGGGGAAUAUUGGACAAUGGGCGAAAGCCUGAUCCAGCCAUGCCGCCUGUGUGAAGAAGGUCUUCGGAUUGUAAAGCACUUUAAGUUGGGAGGAAGGGCAGUAAGUUAAUACCUUGCUGUUUUGACGUUACCAACAGAAUAAGCACCGGCUAACUUCGU
This 483-nucleotide ribosomal RNA is filed under the name uncultured bacterium. RNAcentral's name for it is "partial 16S ribosomal RNA". It matches the Rfam family "Bacterial small subunit ribosomal RNA", at positions 30 to 506 of the family's 1533-position model. The record is from RNAcentral.